RNAcentral lists this transfer RNA (78 nucleotides) under archaeon. RNAcentral describes it as "tRNA-Pro". It matches the Rfam family "tRNA". From Rfam's summary of the family: Transfer RNA (tRNA) molecules are approximately 80 nucleotides in length. Their secondary structure includes four short double-helical elements and three loops (D, anti-codon, and T loops). RNAcentral also lists the same sequence under 5 other names. The record is from RNAcentral.
GGGCACGUGGUGUAGCUUGGCCUAUCAUCGGGCGUUUGGGACGCCUGGACCCAGGUUCAAAUCCUGGCGCGCCCACCA